RNAcentral lists this long non-coding RNA (8482 nucleotides) under Podarcis lilfordi (Lilford's wall lizard). Lineage: Eukaryota; Metazoa; Chordata; Lepidosauria; Squamata; Lacertidae. The record is from RNAcentral.
AAGGAUGGGAGGAGAAUAGAUUGUUGUUGUUUUUUCUCUCUACUCAGACACCUCUGGCAUAUCCUUCCAUUAACAAUUCAUUUGCUGCUGUUGUUUUCCUGGCUGAGUGCCUAAAUAUUCUUUGUGUUGUUCUAGAUAUGUAUUAGGAGUAGAUGGCAAAAAUCCACAACAUGCAGGUAGCUCCUGUCAUGCAGCCUGGGACACCUCAGUCAUCUUACUUAUUUAUCACAGCCCCCCAUCUUUAGCACUGAAAUAUCCUUCUUGAGCUGGGGACUCUGCGUUUGUGCCUCCACCACUCCAUCAUCACAGGGAAUGUCCAUCUUACAUGGUCUAUAUACCACAUAUAUCAAAGCUUGUUUGUCCUAGUUGCUGUAACGACCUAUGUUCUGAACAAAUAAAAUCCGUCUUAUUCUUUUAGUAGGAAUAGGUAAAGGGUACAGGGACCCCUGACCAUUAUUAGGUCCUGUCGUGACCGACUCUGGGGUUGCGGCACUCAUCUCGCUUUAUUGGCUGAGGGAGCCAGCGUACAGCUUCCGGGUCAUGUGGCUAGCAUGACUAAGCCGCUUCUGGCGAAUCAGAGCAGCGCACGGAAACGCCGUUUACCUUCCCGCCAGAGCGGUACCUAUUUAUCUACUUGCACUUUGACGUGCUUUCGAACUGCUAGGUGGGCAGGAGCAGGGACCGAGCAACGGGAGCUCACCCCGUCGCGGGGAUUCAAACUGCCGACCUUCUGAUUGGCAAGUCCUAGGCUCUGUGGUUUAACCCACAGCGCCACCCGUGUCCCACCCGUUGCACACUAAAAUGGAACGCUAACCUGUAAAUUGAAACGCUAUUUUACUUCCAAGGAAAGGAGCAGGGGAAAUGAGCUGCUAAGAAUAACGAUAAGAGAAGAUAAUCAGUGAAUGAAGAAAAUAGUGUUCCCUGUUCCCUGUAGCCUUUUAGAAUUCUCAAUUGGGACAGCAUCGCAUGAUGGGGUUUCUCUGUUUCUCAGACCCUUCAGGGACACAGUAGCAUACGAAAUGUAUAUCAUCACAGAAAUUUCACCUCAAGCGAAAUUCAAAGCAAACAAUUUUUUUGUGUUGGUGGAUCGCACAGGGGCAUUUGGAUACUAUGUUAUAAGAUAAGGGGCUCCUGCUUUAAUUGCAACUGCUUAAAUGCCUUAAUUAGUACAAUAUUCUCCGGUGCAGAUGUUCAACACUGUUUUCCUUGUUUUCCUACUUCAUCUUAGCCGGAGAAUUCAUUCCCUCUCUCCCCCACCAUGUUCUGCCAACUCCAUCUUUCCACUGAGAUAAUGCCCACUGAUACUGAAAAGAAGAAGGGGACUUUCCCACAUGCCAAAGGCAUUUUCCAUGAACUUGAGACAUGCCUUCUUAUGAAUGCUUUAGUGUCCUCAAGUUGAUAGGCCUGCCGCUGCUUAUGCAGAAAACCACAUGAUCCUGAGUUCCCAGGACUGCACCAUUUUAAGUGGGGAAGAAAGUUUUUAAAUUCUUUUCCCACUUUGAAAAUUUCCUUCCUGUUAAAAGCCAGCAUAUCAAAAACAAUAUUCUAUCCUAGCCUUCCUCUUGGCUAUGUUUCUGUGAAUGAGCAUUCAGUUCCCUUUCUGCAGUCUGGAACGGGACGGGCCUGGGUGGAAAUUUCAGACCAUGUUAUUUUCUGCAUCUGUAGCUUGGUUUCUUUCCUUUGCGUCUGGGCUACAUUUACAUGAAAAGAAAUUUGCCCAAUUCAGAUUUCUGGUAUGAACCUUUAAGACAGUAAAUGGUUUGAGACGGGAUUGCUAAAAAGACUGCCUGCACCCAUAUGAGACUGCACGCAAUAUGCAAGGUUUUGCUUGGAAUAUUUUGCAUUAGUCUCCCAUCAGAGAAAUACUCUGCCUGCCUUGCAGCGGCCUUUUCCUGCCAAUUGCGCCUGAGUGAAGCCUUAUGAAACAGCUUUCUUCACAUAAAAGCAAAAGCCUUUUAGCUGUCAUUUCUGAAUUCUCCCCCUGCCCACCUUGCCAAGCGCUUAGCCUCUUAACACUCUCAAAGCUAUCUCAGCUUAAACUAGCCCCCCCCCCCUUUUCUUUCAUUCAGACCAGACCAAGGACAGGGAAGUCAGCGUGAUUUUACUACUGAAAAGCCAUGAUAACUGAGGACAUCGCCGCAACCCCCGCUUCGUCUUUUUCCAGCCUUAUGCUGUAAAAUAUUUUAAACAACCUGUCAUUUAAAGCAAUAUAUUCUCCUAUCCUCCAUGUUUUUAAGUAGCUUUCAAAGUAGCAAAUAGUAAUUCAUGCCCUCUGUUGAUAAUCCCUGUAGGGUUUCAGCAGGCAGGUGUUUUAACUACAAUCUCUUCUACGGUUCGUUUCAAGUCAUGGUAAAAAGUAUCCUGUAGAAUACCAUGACCCCUUUCUUCAAACCUUCGUAUUUUCUAGUUCACUGAUUCCCCAGCCCUUCCAUUCCUUUCCCUUUGCAUCUAAACAUUGGCACAACACUCCUAAGAUACAAUUUCCUUUUAUCCUUUCUGAUUGCCAAUGGGGUUUGAAUCCUCCUUAGGACACUUGAAGAAAUGAUAUUUUGCUAUAUGCCUUGGGUAGGGUUUUUUUUUAACAUGACUCUACUGUGUGUAAUUAAUCAUCUUGCAUCAAGUCAUUAAAAGUAAUUCAAUAUGAGAAUCACAGAAUUGUAGAGUUGAACGGAACCACGAGGGUCAUCCAAUCCAAAGCAGAAUUACAACUUUAAAAAAACGAAUAUAUUAUUCAUGUCAGUUCAUAAAAUGGAAACAGUUGUGUCUAAGAAUAUAGAAAUGCGGGCUAAUACAAACCACGAACUUUGCUUAAAUGUUGACCAACAUUUAUGUAUUUUUUCCUGUGUGUUCUUUGCUAUCCUUUUAUCCUGGAUUUCUAACGAUGCCUAACUUGUGAAAGUUUCCCAAGUUUUCAAACUGUGCACUUUCAAUAUUGCUUUCUCGUGUUCCAAAUUAAUUCAUUAAAUAACAUUUCAAUAUUUUUGGCUUUUCCUCACAUUUGGUAACAUGGAUUGUUGUCACUGUUCCCAUACUUUGCAGCUGGGCCAUAGGAUUGGCUGGGUCUCCACCAACAAUCUUGCCACAUUUCGUUCUUAUUUCUGCUGGUCACCACCCCUCAAAUCAUCUUUGUACAUCUCUGGUACAUGCAGGCCUCCUGGAAUUUCUUAUAUUGCAUAUAUGCUCAGUGCUUAUAUUCUUAUUAACAAAUGCUAUAUUUUUGCAAUUGUACCUAUGUGUCCAUAUUUUCUCCUAGCAGAAUUUGACACCAUUUCCUUUACCCUCCUCCCCGAAAGAAACAUCAGAGGAACAUUGAGCUGGCAAUUUGAUAUAGCUGUUUUAUGAGAUUAUAAAAUAACCAAGUGCUGUACUUAACUAAUGGAUGAGAGGGAUAAUUGUUUCAUUUGUCAUCAACCAAUGUGCAUUUGUACAGUCACUUUCCAUCCUUGCUGGUGAAAUGUCUAGGUAUUUUGGUUUGGGAGCUGGAAAAAUGUGAUAGCCACACACAAAAAUGGAAAGUAUUGGUUACUUAGCAAACUGAUCACCAAUAACAGCACUGCCAUGAACCAUCUUUCAUAUCAGAGGUACUUCCACUAUUCCGAGUAGAAUUGUGCCUGUUUCUGCCUUGAUGUCUUGGUCUUUUCAGCGAAGAGGUCUAUGCACGGCCCAUUAAUUUCCUAUCAACGUAGGGUUAGUGGGUCCCAGAAGAUCCCUUUAUUGAUGUUUGGCAUUUCCCCAGGUCCCCGCGCAGCAUGAAACAUCACUUUACUUCAUUAUCUUUUUUGAAGGAGGUUUUAUUGGAGGAUAUACAAUUCCUUUAAUGAUGUUUGCCAUGUUAUUUUUACCUUCAUCUGUUAGUUUGUUUAGCUAAUAGUUAGAUCUUCCUACACUUUAAAGCUCAUACUUAUGCAUGAAAUAUUAAUGGUAGAAAUAAUGAUCCACUGUUAAUGUUUCCAAUUAUGAGAAGAAAGGAUUCAGGAAAAACAAUACUGAUAUUAUUUUUAUAAUAUUAUAAAUAAAUGUUGGAGUAAGUGCUGCACACACACACAGCCAUAAGAAAUAAAGUCCUUCCUAUAGCACACACAAACACAUCCUUCUGUUUGCUCAGGUUUAGGGUUUUGGUAGUUCAGUCAUAGUUUGUUAAAUAUGUGUGCUUUUUAAAUAUAAUUCUGAUCUCACCAAAACAAAUAUUUUAAAACAGAUACCACAUUAAUUUUCUUUAGCAGCUAAUUGGAUUGAUACUUUUAUCCCCAAACUUUAUUUCCUGAGGCACUUUGCAUAGUUACACAUACUCACAAGAUAAAUUGAUAAUUUCGUGGAUUAAACCUCGUUAAUGGAAUGAUUGCUACAAAUGCAUGAACUGACUGCUACAGCUGAGAUUUUAAUAAGCACAUUUUUAAAGUCCUCUUCAAUUAAUAACCUUGAUUGUAAAAUCUUGUAUCACCUAUUGUGAUUGUAGUGGGAAGCCCCUCACCCUUCUUAGUUCACCUAAUGUGAUGGUUUGGAAUAUCCAGUUGCUUAGGGAACAAAGCAGUUUCCAGUCCAGCUUCUGUAAGGAAAGAGAAAAUUGUUAGUUUGGAAUUAGAACCCCAGGCAGGUAUUGAGAACUGCUUCUGGGAUAUAGGGAAACUAUAGGACAGGGAGCCCAGAGGCAAAGAGCCUGAAGGAAGAGUACCAGUUAGGUAAAGGACUGAGGAAUACAUUGGGUUUGUGAGAGGCAUAUAAUUUCAGCAGAACUUGCCGCUUUAGUAAGUGUGAUUCAGAUUGCAGCUGAGAUGCUACUACAUUGGAGGUCAGAAGCUGCUACUCAGGUUUUUCGCAAGGGAGGGCUUCAUGCUGAACUAAUAAUAAAAUGAGUUGGAUUCCAGAAAGGCAAUCAAUAGACGUGGCAGUCAAUAGAAAGUAGUAUUUUUAAUAGGGUGGAACUAAAAAUAAUUUUUAAAAUACACGGGAAGUUACUCAUGGAAAAUACAUUGGGCUGUUGAAGCAGAUAAACCACUUUAUUAUUGGAAAUAAUAAUGGAAACACGGAUAAACUUUAGGCCUCGGUCCAUAAUCAAAGGUGAAUUGCAGACCGUACUGGUACACCCCAAUAUUAUUUUGAUUCAGACAUGAUUGUGCUGAUAAAUCAAUAACAGAAAGGUACAACUUACUCUUUAUUUUAGCACAUGCUGAAAAUAGAGAUGAUAAACAAGGUCUCUUUCUGUGUGUGUGUGUGUGUGUGUGUGUGCAGCUAGCUUUUGUAUAUUCUGUCACAUGGGCUUCCAGUAGACUUUCAUCCAAGGUACUGAUCUGAGCCACACUCAAAUGAACUCCAGCCGUUCUGUAGUAUUGGGUAUUCCCCUGGUCAAGAUUUAUAUAGAUAUAGAUAUUGAUAACCCUUCAGUGACAAUUAGUUCUCAGACAUUUUCUGGAUAGGAAGGUUGGUCUUCCUUCUCUACAAAAUAAUACUUUUUGUCCCAAAUCGUGGUAAAUGGAUAGAAAGGGGCUAGUUUUUCAGCAAAUAAGCUUAGCAUUGCAGGGAUUAAGGGGUGACUAAUGUUUUCACCAUUUCAAAUGUAAUAAUUUUCAAAGAAAACUAAGUACCACAUCAUUCCUAUUAAAUUGUCAUGCCUGACAUAAUGACAUUACACUUGUGAAUGAAAGAUAGCUUGCAUUUCUUAAUUUAUUGUGAUCAUAAUGCUUUUUAGAAUAAGAAAACCAGGAAGAGGAAAACAUUUAAAAAUUAGCUUGCAUGUUUAGGCUGCAGUCCUCUACUCACAUGGGAGUAAGAAUUGAACUCAGUAAGGCUUCCAUCUGAAUAGAAUAAGUUGUUAGGUUAUAGCUAUACAGUGGUACCUCAGGUUACAUACGCUUCAGGUUACAUACGUUUCAGGUUACAGACUCCGCUAACCCAGAAAUAGUGCUUCAGAUUAAGAACUUUGCUUCAGGAUGAUGGUGCUGCGGUGGCGCGGCAGCAGCAGGAGGCCCCAUUAGCUAAAGUGGUGCUUCAGGUUAAGAACAGUUUCAGGUUAAGAACGGACCUCCAAAACGAAUUAAGUACUUAACCCGAGGUACUACUGUACUGUAUUGAGCACAAUCCACUUGGAACUUCUGUUGCACAUCUUCCAUUAAUUUCAGGCUUUAUGCAACCUGAAGCAAUAAGGCUGCCCAUAUCUGACACAAACUCCAAAAAAUGUGAACUGGCCCGGACAGGGAGAAGAGACUUAGGAAUGCUGAACUGGAAGAUGAAGAUAGGUAUUGAGUUGCUUUUGUCUACAUUUCAAAUGCUGCUGUCAUCUAGAAAUUUCAGAAUUUCAUUUCACAUCUGUUGAGCUAUGACUGCACUUGAUGAAAAAUCCUUCACGGCCGAAGGAGCAAAUUAAAAAAAAAAAAUCGAUCAUAAGUUAAUGGAAGAAUAUGGAGCUGAGACAAGUGUCGCUGUAGUUUCCAGAGAAAAACAUCAUGGAGAGCAGCAAUGUUUUGUAGCCUUAGACCAAGUGGUGUUUGCUUUGGCACAAGCAGUUUAAAGCACUUGUCUUAUCGCUGGCUGUAUGCCUGGGCAUUGCAUUGUUCACUCGAAGACACAAAUAGUUCACGUACAGAACAGAACAUAAGCAGUGCCCCUAAAUGAAAGGGCAUUAUUACGGAUUCCUCUUUAUGUUCAAAUUACGAUGUCAAAGCUUGAACCUUUCCUAAAUUGCUUCAUAAAGACAAUGCAUAGCAAAUAUUCAAUGCAGACUUCAGAUGACCAGACUGCUCUUGACUCCAUGUUUAUAAAUAUCAAAGAAUCCCAAUACUGUUGUAAUAGAGGACAUUGAUGGGAACUUGCAUUUUCCACGUUUGCUCCUGGGCCAGGCUUGCACUCUGAUCCGAUCAGUAAGGGGGCUUUGCUUGCUGAAGUUCUCUGCCUGCAAUUUUCCUCUAGCUUUGUCUUGUUGGCAGGAUCUUUCUCUCCUCACCUGAUAGAAGCUGACAACAACUCAUAGCAUAUAAAUACUGUUUCUUGCAUUACUGUGAGAAGAGCUUACAGACUCCUCUUAGGGAGAUACGGCAAGCCUAUUUCUUCUUCCACUGUGAGGGCGAAGGAGGUGGAAGAGCAAAAAAAAGGUCUGUUCUAUAAACGCAUUGCCUGCACUUAACAUUAUGGAAAGGCACACCAGGCUUAUCAGGAAGCAUCAGAUUAGUAUUUAUGUGUACGUAAUGUGGAGAAUAACAAUACAUGAGCAAGUGUCUUGGAUUCUGAUUGGUUUGCCAUUUGAAUAAUUGACCUAGGUGGCAGCCAAGCAUGCUAAGCUGCAGAUGAGAGCACAUAAUGGGUGUCAAGGUCGCUCUUCCAGCAAUGGAAACCAUAAUGAGAAUGGGACCGUUGGGAUUAAGAUAUGCGACAUUGACAAAUCACCUUACACAUGCUCUCUUUAUGUUAUUUUAUUGAAAGAUAAUUUGUUUUCCUUUCUGCUGGAGUGCUUCAUGGGAGAGAAACUCAGCUGGAGUGAACUUUCACCUUUGCAGUGAGCCAGGAUGGUUUCGUCUGGGACAGAGUUUAUUUUGCAGAGCAGAUGCGUUAAAGUAUUGCAGAGUCAUUUCUGCUAGAAAGAUGCAAGAUCCUUUUGUAAGGAGGAAAAGGGGGCGAGUUUUUACUGCGAAAUAUAGAGCGUAUUUGCUAACUAAAUCCUAAUUUACCCUUUCGGUUAUGACUUCUAGGUUUGAUGGUUUUUCAGGUAAUACUCUACCUGCUCAAUCAGUGAUUUCACUACCGGCAGCCAGGUUGACAACCUUCGUGGAAGCCAUAUGACAAUUGUUUUAACAAAGAAGCCAACUUGGAUUAUAACUGACAAUAAUAAGCCUUAAGUAGGGACAAUGUCUCUAGCUUUCAGCCUUCUGUAAAGGCUUUCAGAAUUCCUAAAGACAAAGACUUUCAAAUAUAUUGAAUAUUUAAAUAAAUAAAUAUUAUUUAUUUUCCACGGAGGUAAUUCAGGAAGGAGAUAUCUAAAUCCUCCACCCUGAAUUAGAGAAUGCAUGAUAAGUAGGUCACCUGCAGCUUAGUAUUCUGCAAGACUUCUAUUUUCUUUUAAAUAUUCAAAAAAUAAUUUAGCAGAUAGGUGACAUAAAACACAACGUGUCGGGGAGAGGAUUGGGUGGGUUUUCAUUACCUGCAGAGCCAGUAAUGGUUUCUUUGAAAACUUUGCUUUCAAAUUAGAUUAUAUUUCUGUACGAAACAAACAUACCUGUUACAUAAGAUAAGAGACACAGUGUAUGACGAAUACCAAACCAGCAUUUUUACCAACUCAGCUUCUUCUAAGAAGUCAUAUAUUCUGAUCAUUUUCACAAAAAAGUUGCCAAACUUGCAUCUUUGAUUCUGUUAUGCUAGUUUGCUCGAAACAGUAAACCUGUUUAUGUCUGUAUAGAUAAGCAAAAAAUACAGGACAGUGUAGAUAAUAUCCUGUUAAAAUAGCUAGAUUUAUUUAUACAUUUAUGUUUAAAGCAUUUCUAUACUGACUUCCAUC